CCCUUAGAUGUUCUGGGCUGCACGCGCGCUACACUGAUGCGUUCAACGAGUCCAUGACCUUGCCCGGCAGGGUUGGGUAAUCUUCUGAAAACGCAUCGUGAUGGGGAUAGAUUAUUGCAAUUAUUAAUCUUCAACGAGGAAUUCCUAGUAAGCGCGAGUCAUCAGCUCGUGCUGAUUACGUCCCUGCCCUUUGUACACACCGCCCGUCGCUCCUACCGAUUGAGUGGUCCGGUGAGGCUUUGGGAUCUGAGCGGAAAGAGCGUUUCGCUGUUUCUGCUCGGAAAACUCAGUCGAACCUUAUCAUUUAGAGGAAGGAGAAGUCGUAACA
This 328-nucleotide ribosomal RNA is filed under the name uncultured eukaryote. RNAcentral describes it as "partial 18S ribosomal RNA". It matches the Rfam family "Eukaryotic small subunit ribosomal RNA", at positions 1470 to 1796 of the family's 1831-position model. The record is from RNAcentral.